AAAAAUUACCCAUCAUUUUCCUAAAAAAAAAAAAAAAAAAAAAAAAAAAAAAAAAAAAAAAAAAAAAAAAAAAAACGAAAAAAAAACGAAAAAAAAAACGAAAAAAAAAGAAAAGAAAAAAAAGAAAAAAAAAAUUUAAUUAAUUAAUUAAUUAAAUAAUUAAAAUAAAUAAAUAAAUAAAAUAUAACAAAUUAUUUUGGACUUGGGUCUCCCUCAUUC
This 219-nucleotide long non-coding RNA is filed under the name Lathyrus oleraceus (garden pea). Its description in RNAcentral is "Pisum sativum (pea) long non-coding RNA (PSAT_LNC005595)". Lineage: Eukaryota; Viridiplantae; Streptophyta; Magnoliopsida; Fabales; Fabaceae. The record is from RNAcentral.